GCCCGGAUGGCGAAAUCGGUAGACGCAAGGGACUUAAAAUCCCUCGGCCUUGCGGUCAUGCGGGUUCGAGUCCCGCUCCGGGCACCA
RNAcentral lists this transfer RNA (87 nucleotides) under Rhodanobacteraceae bacterium. RNAcentral's name for it is "tRNA-Leu". It matches the Rfam family "tRNA". From Rfam's summary of the family: Transfer RNA (tRNA) molecules are approximately 80 nucleotides in length. Their secondary structure includes four short double-helical elements and three loops (D, anti-codon, and T loops). The record is from RNAcentral. Lineage: Bacteria; Pseudomonadati; Pseudomonadota; Gammaproteobacteria; Lysobacterales; Rhodanobacteraceae.